UUAGCUUCUUUAUCAGUUUCGACCUGAUUAUUUUAUAGCUAAC
Molecule: transfer RNA, 43 nt
Filed under: Histiostomatidae sp. XFX
Lineage: Eukaryota; Metazoa; Arthropoda; Arachnida; Sarcoptiformes; Histiostomatidae
Description: tRNA-Arg
Source: RNAcentral